Cajanus cajan (pigeon pea) is the source of this 116-nucleotide non-coding RNA. The record is from Rfam. Lineage: Eukaryota; Viridiplantae; Streptophyta; Magnoliopsida; Fabales; Fabaceae.
AGGUGCGAUCAUACCAGAACUAAUGUACCGGAUCCCAUCAGAACUCCGCAGUUAAGUAUGUUUGGGCGAGAGUAGUACUAGAAUGGGUGACCUCCUGGGAAGUCCUCACCUAUUUA